This 371-nucleotide unclassified non-coding RNA is filed under the name uncultured bacterium. RNAcentral describes it as "contains 16S-23S intergenic spacer region". The record is from RNAcentral.
UCCGAGUUGACCCCGGCAGUCUCCUACGAGUCCCCGGCAUAACCCGCUGGCAACACGCCACGGGGGUUGCGCUCGUUGCGGGACUUAACCCAACACCUCACGGCACGAGCUGACGACAGCCAUGCAGCACCUUAUUCCGAAGAGGAACCGAUGUUUCCACCGGCUUUCCCGUGCAUGUCAAGCCCAGGUAAGGUUCUUCGCGUUGCUUCGAAUUAAACCACAUAAUCCACCGCUUGUGCGGGUCCCCGUCAAUUCCUUUGAGUUUUAACCUUGCGGCCGUACUCCCCAGGCGGUCAACUUCACGCGUUAGCUUCGUUACCAAGGAAUUGCUUCCCCGACAACCAGUUGACAUAGUUUAGGGCGUGGACUAC